CCUACGGGUGGCAGCAGUGAGGAAUAUUGGUCAAUGGGCGGAAGCCUGAACCAGCCAAGUAGCGUGCAGGAUGACGGUCCUAUGGAUUGUAAACCUCUUUUGUCGGGGAACAAAGGCGCCCACGGGUGUGCGGAUGAGUGUACCCGAAGAAAAAGCAUCGGCUAACUCCGUGCCAGCAGCCGCGGUAAUACGGGGGGUGCAAGCGUUGUCCGGAAUCAUUGGGCGUAAAGCGUUCGUAGGCGGCAAGGUAAGUCUGAUGUUAAAGCCCGGGGCUCAACCCCGGUUCGGCAUUGGAUACUAUCUAGCUAGAGAGUGGUAGAGGUAAAGGGAA
This 331-nucleotide ribosomal RNA is filed under the name uncultured bacterium. RNAcentral describes it as "partial 16S ribosomal RNA". It matches the Rfam family "Bacterial small subunit ribosomal RNA", at positions 338 to 666 of the family's 1533-position model. The record is from RNAcentral.